CCCCUUUCAGGAUCGCACCUGGAGAGUUUCCCGUGGUCUACCAGUCUUGGCCAUGAGAGGGAGAGUCAAGCAGAGGCCUACCCAUUCCAUUCCUAGCUUGGGCAGUGGCUAGCGAGUGGAAGGCGAUCUGCUGCCAGU
RNAcentral lists this small nucleolar RNA (138 nucleotides) under Ornithorhynchus anatinus (platypus). The record is from RNAcentral. Lineage: Eukaryota; Metazoa; Chordata; Mammalia; Monotremata; Ornithorhynchidae.